CUUGAACGCUGGCGGCAGGCCUAACACAUGCAAGUCGAACGAGUGGCGGACGGGUGAGUAAUGUAUGGGAAACUGACCGAUGGAGGGGGAUAACUGCUGGAAACGGUAGCUAAUACCGCAUACCAUCGGAUGUGGCCAGAUGGGAUUAGCUUGUAGGGGAGGUAACGCCUAACCUAGGCAACUAUCCCUCGCUGGUCUGAGAGGAUUACAAGCCGAACGGGAACGGAGACACUGUCCAUCCUCCUACGUUAGGCAGCAGUGGGUAAUAUUUCUCAAUUGGUGCAAGCCGGAUUUAGCCAUGCCUCUUGUAUGAAGAAGGCCUUCGGUUUUUAAAUUACUUUCCGCUGGGAGGCGUUACCCGCAGAAGAAGCACCUGCUAACUCCGUGCCAGCAGCCGCGGUAAUAC
Molecule: ribosomal RNA, 406 nt
Filed under: uncultured bacterium
Lineage: Bacteria
Description: partial 16S ribosomal RNA
Rfam family: Bacterial small subunit ribosomal RNA
Source: RNAcentral